UGUGAUAUCUGGCUGCGACAUCUGUCACCCCAUUGAUUGCCAGGAUUGAUUUGGCUGAUCUGGCUGGCUAGUCGGGUGUCCCCUUAUUUUUUCACCGCUCCACAUGUGUCCCUCCCUGAGCUGCACACUCAGUAGAAGAGUUCAGCCUUUUCGGAAUACAGACUGACUAGUCUUUGGUCGAGGGUAUGAGUAGCUGCGCACCCCUGCUAGAACCUCCAAACAAGUCAUAACAAUUUAAAACAAAAAAUUGGAGAGAAGAACUGAAAAAACACUUCUUCACAGAAGAUGAGAAUAGCUAUAUGCAGAACUGAUCACUUAUUGU
Molecule: small nuclear RNA, 322 nt
Filed under: Sorex araneus (European shrew)
Lineage: Eukaryota; Metazoa; Chordata; Mammalia; Eulipotyphla; Soricidae
Description: 7SK RNA (ENSSARG00000018230.1)
Rfam family: 7SK RNA (bases 1-289)
About the family: 7SK was discovered as an abundant small nuclear RNA in the mid-70s but a possible function has only recently been suggested. Two independent studies have found that 7SK RNA binds the CDK9/cyclin T complex (known as elongation factor P-TEFb). P-TEFb activates transcription by phosphorylating the C-terminal domain of RNA polymerase II.
Source: RNAcentral